CAGUGUGAUUCGUCACACUAUCAUUAACUGAAUCCAUAGGUUAAUGAGGCGAACCGGGGGAACUGAAACAUCUAAGUACCCCGAGGAAAAGAAAUCAACCGAGAUUCCCCCAGUAGCGGCGAGCGAACGGGGAGGAGCCCAGAGCCUGAAUCAGUGUGUGUGUUAGUGGAAGCGUCUGGAAAGGCGCGCGAUACAGGGUGACAGCCCCGUACACAAAAAUGCACAUGCUGUGAGCUCGAUGAGUAGGGCGGGACACGUGGUAUCCUGUCUGAAUAUGGGGGGACCAUCCUCCAAGGCUAAAUACUCCUGACUGACCGAUAGUGAACCAGUACCGUGAGGGAAAGGCGAAAAGAACCCCGGCGAGGGGAGUGAAAAAGAACCUGAAACCGUGUACGUACAAGCAGUGGGAGCACAGAGCAAUCUGUGUGACUGCGUACCUUUUGUAUAAUGGGUCAGCGACUUAUAUUCUGUAGCAAGGUUAACCGAAUAGGGGAGCCGAAGGGAAACCGAGUCUUAACUGGGCGUUAAGUUGCAGGGUAUAGACCCGAAACCCGGUGAUCUAGCCAUGGGCAGGUUGAAGGUUGGGUAACACUAACUGGAGGACCGAACCGACUAAUGUUGAAAAAUUAGCGGAUGACUUGUGGCUGGGGGUGAAAGGCCAAUCAAACCGGGAGAUAGCUGGUUCUCCCCGAAAGCUAUUUAGGUAGCGCCUCGUGAAUUCAUCUCCGGGGGUAGAGCACUGUUUCGGCAAGGGGGUCAUCCCGACUUACCAACCCGAUGCAAACUGCGAAUACCGGAGAAUGUUAUCACGGGAGACAC
RNAcentral lists this ribosomal RNA (819 nucleotides) under Escherichia coli. RNAcentral describes it as "partial 23S ribosomal RNA". It matches the Rfam family "Bacterial large subunit ribosomal RNA", at positions 129 to 987 of the family's 2925-position model. The record is from RNAcentral. Lineage: Bacteria; Pseudomonadati; Pseudomonadota; Gammaproteobacteria; Enterobacterales; Enterobacteriaceae.